Molecule: long non-coding RNA, 934 nt
Organism: Oncorhynchus gorbuscha (pink salmon)
Lineage: Eukaryota; Metazoa; Chordata; Actinopteri; Salmoniformes; Salmonidae
Exons: 3
Source: RefSeq, a predicted model, not a curated record
CGAACAAAUAGUUUUGUCAGCACCGUCUUGUACCGACAUGUCAUGUUUCCAUCAGACUGGGCGUGACUUUUGUUUUCAUGCAUCAGGUAAUUCAUCCGCAUGAAAUGGUUUCAUGGAAACGUGGUUAGUGAAAACCAUGCUGAACCGUAAGAAUUACACCUGCAUCUGAGUUACAGUUAAACCUGAAUGUAAAGGUUAACCUAUGUGACGGUGAUUGUUUAUACUAUGUGUACUACACCCUAUUUCAGCUGGUUAGACCUAAACCCUAUUGUCGUUAUUGUUGUGUGAUAGAUACUUACUGUACUCAAACAGCAUGUGAACGGUAUGAAACGGAGCCCAACAGAUCGUGAACAGCAGAACGAUGAGAGACAUGCAGGUGUCAUCCUGCACAAUGCAUUUCAACAGGGAUUUUAGAAGAGCUCUCUGUGUGCCUGAAUGGUCUGGCAGUAGUGCUGUCAACUCAGACCGCCGGUUCAAUACCCAGAGAAACAACAUGGCUGCCAUGGGCAUCAGGAACAGAGCGACCAUGAUGAAGGUGGUGUACACUUGUCUGUGGACCAGGGAACCCCAACGCUCCUGACAACACACGUGGUGGUGGUCGUACAGGAAGUCAUACUUCACCUGGGAAUGGAGGGGGAACACAUCAAUGAAUCAUUCAAUCACAGCUUUUGGUUUUCUGGAGUGAUUCUGAAAGCGAACGAUUUGGUUAGGUUAAGUAGGGUUAGGUUAAGUCAGGUCAAGUUAGGUCAGGUCAGGUCAAGUUAGGUCAGGUCAAGUUAGGUCAGGUUAGGUCAAGUUAGGUCAGGUCAAGUUAGGCCAAGUUAGCUCAGGUCAAGUCAGAUCAAGUAAGGUUAGGUCAAUUAGGUUAGGUCAAGUUAGGUCAGGCCAGGUUAAGUUAGGUCAGGUUAAGUUAGGUCAGGUUAAGUUAAAUUAG